GGCUGGUUUGAGUGUAGAAGUAUUAACAAAUAAUUGAUCACAACAAGUUAAAGCUUUCUGUGUUCCUUCCCCACUGUUUCACUUGACUAGCCUCCC
RNAcentral lists this non-coding RNA (96 nucleotides) under Otolemur garnettii (small-eared galago). Lineage: Eukaryota; Metazoa; Chordata; Mammalia; Primates; Galagidae. The record is from RNAcentral.